RNAcentral lists this ribosomal RNA (63 nucleotides) under Chaetomium sp. RNAcentral's name for it is "partial 28S ribosomal RNA". Lineage: Eukaryota; Fungi; Ascomycota; Sordariomycetes; Sordariales; Chaetomiaceae. The record is from RNAcentral.
GCCGUGAAACCCACCUUCUCGAAGGUACCCAAAGGUUGACCUCGGAUCAGGUAGGAAGACCCG